RNAcentral lists this ribosomal RNA (506 nucleotides) under uncultured bacterium. RNAcentral's name for it is "partial 16S ribosomal RNA". It matches the Rfam family "Bacterial small subunit ribosomal RNA", at positions 29 to 523 of the family's 1533-position model. The record is from RNAcentral.
AGUGAACGCUGGCGGUAGGCCUAACACAUGCAAGUCGAACGGCAGCACAGAGGAGCUUGCUCCUUGGGUGGCGAGUGGCGGACGGGUGAGGAAUACAUCGGAAUCUACUCUGUCGUGGGGGAUAACGUAGGGAAACUUACGCUAAUACCGCAUACGACCUACGGGUGAAAGCAGGGGAUCUUCGGACCUUGCGCGAUUGAAUGAGCCGAUGUCGGAUUAGCUAGUUGGCGGGGUAAAGGCCCACCAAGGCGACGAUCCGUAGCUGGUCUGAGAGGAUGAUCAGCCACACUGGAACUGAGACACGGUCCAGACUCCUACGGGAGGCAGCAGUGGGGAAUAUUGGGCAAUGGGCGCAAGCCUGAUCCAGCCAUACCGCGUGGGUGAAGAAGGCCUUCGGGUUGUAAAGCCCUUUUGUUGGAAAAGAAAUCCAUCUGGUUAAUACCCGGGUGGGAUGACGGUACCCAAAGAAUAAGCACCGGCUAACUUCGUGCCAGCAGCCGCAGUAA